AGAGUUUGAUCCUGGCUCAGGACGAACGCUGGCGGCGUGCUUAACACAUGCAAGUCGAACGGAAAGGCCCUUCGGGGUACUCGAGUGGCGAACGGGUGAGUAACACGUGGGUGAUCUGCCCUGCACUUUGGGAUAAGCCUGGGAAACUGGGUCUAAUACCGAAUAUGACCACGCUCUUCAUGGGGUGUGGUGGAAAGCUUUUGCGGUGUGGGAUGGGCCCGCGGCCUAUCAGCUUGUUGGUGGGGUAAUGGCCUACCAAGGCGACGACGGGUAGCCGGCCUGAGAGGGUGACCGGCCACACUGGGACUGAGAUACGGCCCAGACUCCUACGGGAGGCAGCAGUGGGGAAUAUUGCACAAUGGGCGCAAGCCUGAUGCAGCGACGCCGCGUGAGGGAUGACGGCCUUCGGGUUGUAAACCUCUUUCACCAGGGACGAAGCGCAAGUGACGGUACCUGGAGAAGAAGCACCGGCCAACUACGUGCCAGCAGCCGCGGUAAUACGUAGGGUGCGAGCGUCGUCCGGAAUUACUGGGCGUAAAGAGCUCGUAGGUGGUUUGUCGCGUUGUUCGUGAAAACUCACAGCUUAACUGUGGGCGUGCGGGCGAUACGGGCAGACUAGAGUACUGCAGGGGAGACUGGAAUUCCUGGUGUAGCGGUGGAAUGCGCAGAUAUCAGGAGGAACACCGGUGGCGAAGGCGGGUCUCUGGGCAGUAACUGACGCUGAGGAGCGAAAGCGUGGGGAGCGAACAGGAUUAGAUACCCUGGUAGUCCAA
RNAcentral lists this ribosomal RNA (773 nucleotides) under uncultured bacterium. RNAcentral's name for it is "bacterial SSU rRNA". It matches the Rfam family "Bacterial small subunit ribosomal RNA", at positions 8 to 798 of the family's 1533-position model. The record is from RNAcentral.